ACGAGCUUAUUUCACAACCAUAACACGAGGUACUUGUUGAUAUCGCGCGACAUCGCGUGAGAAAAAGACAAACGAGUUGGUCUCUGCUGUACGGCUCUACACAUCGAGUUUUUAUUUUCAAGUAUUAUAACCUACUGAAAUUAUAGUUAGUUUAAGAUAAUAAUUCGAUAGAAUGAAAAAAAGACUUUGAAGUAGCAAGCACAUAUCGUUGUGGUCGCCGUUCUAUACUGCUCGUGUUUACACCUUUCUCGAAUAUUUACGACGCGCACUGGACCACCGGUGACGGACGUCUGCUCGCUCACAUACACACAAACACAUAUCAAUAUAUACGCUACACGCAUAAAACCGAAAUUUAGCCAAUGCGUUCGAGGAAAAUCUCGUCAGCUCACCACUCAGUGCUCAUGUAGUAUCGAUGGUUACUUGUGGAGCUGAAGAUUCGACUCACGAGGAACUGCGUCAAGCCCUACAGCUAUACCUGAGGAUCAAAAUGUAUUACAGGAAGGUUAUAAGGCAUUUAUAGAAUAUAAUUAGAGCAAUUUGUCAAAACAGCGAAAAAGACACGGAAAGAAUUCAUGUGUAUGAAACUGCAAGUAUUCAAGCUACUUCUUAAACUCCAAGAGUUGGAUCGUGACUUGAUUAUAUACGCACUGUUUUUUGAAAGAAAUUUUACAAAAAUGAAAAUGAAAAUUUCAGAAUUUUCCACAAGUCACGCUCAAAAUAGCGAAUAAAAUUUAUGUCAAUAAUUUGCAGGAAAAAUUAACAAGUGGUGCGAAGAGAAGACUGACGGCAAGAUAAAAAAUCUUGUUGCUGCCGCUGAUUUUUCCGGGAAUACCGAUAUCGUACUUUUGAGUGCGACAUAUUUGAAAGCCCAAUAGAAAACUCUUUUCAAAGAGAAAGGCACAGAAGAUAGAAGAUUUUACUUGAAUAAAAAUGAUAAAGUAGUCCAAAAGGCUUUUAUCGCUGUCGAUGAGUUUGGUACGGAGGCCGGUGCUGCUUCUUACGUAGUAAUGAGUUGGAGAAAACUGACACCAAUUCUCAAAGUUGACAGACCAUUUAUUUAUCAAAUAGUCGAUAUGAAGCGUAG
This is a long non-coding RNA of Trichogramma pretiosum, 1084 nucleotides long. RefSeq lists it as uncharacterized. NCBI's taxonomy places the organism in Eukaryota, Metazoa, Arthropoda, Insecta, Hymenoptera, Trichogrammatidae. The record is from RefSeq and is a predicted model, not a curated record. The transcript has 6 exons.